This is a long non-coding RNA of Xyrauchen texanus (razorback sucker), 3153 nucleotides long. RefSeq lists it as uncharacterized. The transcript has 3 exons. Lineage: Eukaryota; Metazoa; Chordata; Actinopteri; Cypriniformes; Catostomidae. The record is from RefSeq and is a predicted model, not a curated record.
CAGAGAUUUCUCUUACUUUUAUUUUGAAAUAUGAGCGCAUGCGCAUGUCCGAAAGUGCAGCUUCAGCGUGAUCAGAUUAAAUAUAUCUUUAUAUAUAUAUUAUUAUCAAGAGUUUGAUUAAUUAACCGAUCACUGCAGUUUCACUCAUUAAAGUUUUAUUUAUUUUGUGUGACUCCAGAUCUCGCGAGCGCACACAGUCUUGCGCUGCGCGGGCACGAUUCAAAAUAGAGAUCAAUAUUGAUGUGAGAUUUUACAGACUCUUGACAAUCUGUUGCUUUUAAUCCGGUUGAUCAACAGGAUGGUGUGUGAGCUGCUGCUGUCAUCUAUCUGGUUUCUCUUUGUGAUCUUCUGGUUGGAGACCAUCAGUGUUUGGCUCUUCUUGUGUUUGUACUAUCAGGACCGAGUUUACUAUAACUGGGGCUCCAGGGAGUUUACAGAUGAUCCAGGACAGUUCCUGUAUAUGCUGAGCAGGUGAUGGGGAUUGCUGCUGGUGGUGGUUGUUUUGGGAUGCUGGUGAAGUAAUGGUUAAAGAUCUGAAUUUCCUGGUUUACUUGGGUUACAUAUUUCUAAAAUGGUAUUAUUGAUGUAGAAUACUUUUGAAACAUGAAUUAUGUCCAUAUGUACGUCUGUUUGAAUUUCUAUGGCAUUUGAAGGGGAACACAAAAUCCAGGGCAGAACUGAAGGAAGUAGGGCUGGGGCGGACAUAACUAGGGACCUGGACCGACAGGGACCGACAGGAACGAGGUAACAAACCAGACCAGGACCGACCGGGACCGACAGGAACAGGGGUAACAAACCAGACCAGGACCGACCGGGACCGACAGGAACAGGGGUAACAAACCAGACCAGGACCGACCGGGACCGACAGGAACAGGGGUAACAAACCAGACCAGGACCGACCGGGACCGACAGGAACAGGGGUAACAAACCAGACUGACAUGAGACACGAAACAAGACGAACUGGCACUGGACCGCACACACGAGGAGACUAAAAUAGGGAGAAAUCAAACAGGUUAACAGACAGCGCAGGUGUGACUUAUAAACUAAUAAUGGGCAAACAAGGAGGCGGGUAUGACGCAAGACAGAGUGACAUGCGGCGACACCGAAACAAUAACAAACCUGCGUGCUCUCACAAGACAACAAAACGCCUGAAUGGCAUGAGCGCUCACAAUUAGACAAUAUACGCUCAUGCCAACUGACAAACAAGACGAGAGAAUGUGUAGCAACGCCAAACAAAACGACGCCAUGCAUUCUCACAAGACAACAAAUUACCCGAAUGGCAUGAGCGCUCACAAUUAGACAAUAGACGCUCAUGCCAACUGACAAGACCCAGACACACGUUCCGAACAUGAAACCACAACCGCACCCGUGUGCUCACAAAGAGACAGACAACGAACAUGGGACGAUGAUGUCACGGUCCUGCCACACAAAAACAACACUAUCAAUGCAUUAAAAUGAGGUGAAUCAUCCAAUCGGGCGUGUUACGCGGGGCAUGUGCGGUGCGGUUGAUUAGUAAUGAGUGCCAGCUGUUGGCGUGAAUGCGUUUGGGUUGUUUUCGUUUGUUUAUAAUACAAUAUUUCUGACGCUGAGGUUUCUGGUCUCCUGGUACAGAAUUGAUCUCGCUGCACAUGUGCAAACCUGAGGAAGUGAUGUCAUCACGUUGGAGAGUCGUGCAAAGACUAAAGGGAAAGAAGGCUUGAUCAGAAGGGUCAUCAGUGAUGUCAUCAUCUCAUGAAGCGAGGGAGAGCCAAUCAGAGUCUGUGAUGACACGUGGAUUAAAGAGUCUGUAGAAACUGCCUUUAGAGAUUCUGCUGUCCGUAUAGAUCACUGUCACAUCUAUACAGCAGCUUCAGUUGCACCUGUAAUAAAGAUAUAGACAUGUCGACACGUGUGUAAACUCUCACGGAGAUACAUGAUUAUAAAACAAACUGAAUGUUACGUUUAUUAAGAGGGCAACAUAAUGAAAUAUUUCACUCAUAAGAUUAUGAAUUGUUUAAAGAGUGUUGCAUCUAAUAAAUGACAAAUAAAAAUAACCUCCACCCAGAAACUCUGCAUGUGAUUCUGUGGAAAUAACAACAUGAUGCGUCAAUACACAUUCACUCAAUCAUUUGAUUCUCAGUCUUUGCUGUUCAUUGGUUCCCUUUGUGACCUCUGAGAACCUCAUAUUCAAAAAAAAAAAAUAUACGAAUAUGGGCGUGGGUAGCUCAGCGUGUUUGAAUCCAGGGCGUGUUGAGUGACUCCAGUCAGGUCUCCAUAGCAACCAAAUUGGCCCGGUUGCUAGGGAGGGUUACAUGGUCACAUGGGGUAACAUCCUCGUGGUCACUAUAAUGUUGUUCUUGCUUUCAAUGGGGCGUGGUGAUACUCAAACGGCUCCUUGCUAGCCUGAGUCAAAUGAGCCUACCAGGAAGUGUCUAUGAUGUUUUGGUGUGCAAAUAUGGGUUUUGCAAUAUGGUUGCUAGGCAGUUGCCAGAGUGAUACUACAGGCUGCUUGCUGGCCUGAGUCAUACAGGUCAUCGAUGAAGUCUCUACGACAUUCUGAUCAGGAGAUAACAAUCUAAACCCUUUUGAAUUGAAGCCAAUGUGGUUUGGUAGCUAGGGUGGUCUAAAUGGUUGCUAGGGCGUGGUUAAAUGGAUUCCAAGUGGAUACAUGAUACAUCUUGCUCACCCAAGUAAAACAAGCCAACUCUCUUGUCUCUAGGACAUUCUGAUCUGAGGAUGUCCCUCUCAGCCAUUUUGAAUGGAAGCCUAUGGUUGCUAGGGUUAGGGUGACCACCUCCAGUCAGACAAAAUGUGGGACAAGUAGCAUGGUAAAGUGGGACAAUGUGGGACAGACGUAAUAACUUUAAACUUAAGAUAUAUUGUCUAUCUAAUUUACCCAGAAAAAUUUUUUUAAACCCAUUUUAAACUAAAUAAUUGUCAAUUAUGCACAACAUGAGCCAUACAAUUAGCCUUGAUAAUGUCAGCAUUAUCUGCUUUCAGCUUCUGAUAUACAGAUUUGAACUUUCCAUAAUUUACACUAGCGUUAUCAGCAGUGUAAGCAGAGAUCAUUUCCAGUCUAAGGCCAUUCUCUUUCAGUUUGUUAGUAAUCUGGCGGUGAAUUGAUUCUGACGUCUCUGCGCUAUCCUCGUAAAAAUCAACAACUCUAUUCUUUAA